GAAAUGCGAUAAGUAGUGUGAAUUGCAGAAUUCAGUGAAUCAUCGAAUCUUUGAACGCACAUUGCGCCCCUUGGUAUUCCAUGGGGCAUGCCUGUUCGAGCGUCAUUUGUUCCCUCAAGCUCUGCUUGGUGUUGGGUGUUUGUCCCCGUCUCCGCGCGUGGACUCGCCCCAAAGUGAUUGGCAGCCGGCGUACUGGUCCCGGAGCGCAGCACAUGUCGCGCAAACGAGUGCCUUGGUACGGCGGCGUCCAUAAGCCCCUCUCUCACGCUCUUGACCUCGGAUCAGGUAGGGAUACCCGCUGAACUUAAGC
RNAcentral lists this unclassified non-coding RNA (310 nucleotides) under plant metagenome. RNAcentral describes it as "partial contains 5.8S ribosomal RNA, internal transcribed spacer 2, and large subunit ribosomal RNA". The stretch from base 1 to 105 matches the Rfam family "5.8S ribosomal RNA", at positions 50 to 154 of the family's 154-position model. The record is from RNAcentral.